Long non-coding RNA from Apis laboriosa (Himalayan honeybee), 870 nucleotides. RefSeq lists it as uncharacterized. The transcript has 5 exons. The record is from RefSeq and is a predicted model, not a curated record. Lineage: Eukaryota; Metazoa; Arthropoda; Insecta; Hymenoptera; Apidae.
AUAUGGUGCACGAUUUAUUAUUUCUACAAUAUUAUUUAUACAAUCAUAUUAUUCAUACCAUUGUAUAUUUGUUUUAAGAGAAUAGUUUUGACAAAAAAUACACAAAAAGAUCAUCAAUGUCUUCUACAUUAGAAAGAAUGAAGAAUGAUUGAGUUGGAUUAAGACUGGUGAAUUGAACAUGAUCGAUGCGAGGGCAGUUAUUUAGAUUGAGGUUAUGUAGCGUUGAAAUGGAUUGCUGAAUGCAUAGUUUGAACAACCCUACAUUAUGGACCAAUUGCCGAAGGGGCUUGGAUCUCCCAGCAGAGUCACACGCGUAUGACAGAGGAGGAUCCAAGAGACUUGCAGAUCAAAGAAGAAAAAAAAAAGGAAAUAAUAAUGUAUUUAAAAAUUGCUACAAUCGAACUGCUGCAGUUUGAAUGGAUCGAAUCCAAAACUAAUUUACACGGAGGAUCAAUCAGCGUAAUGCUCGAAUGCAACAAUGAAGGUUUAAAAAAUUAGCCCAUCGUAGCCCAGAUCGUAACGAAGAGUUAUUAGGUGGGAACGAUGUUUAGUCGUAAUUGUAAUGCCCGUUCCGCAUACCAGCGAUCCUAUAAAUCGAUCGAUUGCAUCCAUCGAGAACAUUGUUUGCCAUUAAAUCGGGCAUUAAUGAUGCUCUGGUGAUAAAUAGCAACGUUAUUAUUUCUCGUUCUAAGCUCUCGAGAAAUAUCGUUUUCAUUUUGAGAUUGUACCUGUCUUAUAUUGGAAUAUUGGAUAAAGUAAAAUUUGGUGGUCGAGGUAAUUAAUCUUGACACACUAGGUUGAGUUUAUUUUGAAUUACUCUUCCAUUCAUGGCCCUUUUCUGUAUACAAUGUAAAGAGAAUUCUGAGAGGA